This 373-nucleotide ribosomal RNA is filed under the name uncultured bacterium. RNAcentral describes it as "bacterial SSU rRNA". It matches the Rfam family "Bacterial small subunit ribosomal RNA", at positions 521 to 896 of the family's 1533-position model. The record is from RNAcentral.
UAAUACGAAGGUCCCAAGCGUUAUCCGGAUUUAUUGGGUUUAAAGGGUGCGUAGGCGGGCUAUUAAGUCAGUGGUGAAAGCCUCAAGCUUAACUUGAGAAUUGCCAUUGAUACUGAUGACCUUGAGUACAUUUGAAGUGGGCGGAAUGUGUCAUGUAGCGGUGAAAUGCUUAGAUAUGACACAGAACACCGAUUGCGUAGGCAGCUCACUAAACUGUAACUGACGCUGAGGCACGAAAGCGUGGGGAGCAAACAGGAUUAGAUACCCUGGUAGUCCACGCCCUAAACGAUGAUCACUCGAUGUGUGCGAUACACUGUACGCGUCCGAGCGAAAGCAUUAAGUGAUCCACCUGGGGAGUACGGCCACAAGGCUG